GAGGAAGAGAAAGUCUUCGGAAGUAGAAAUCGAUGUUUGUGGUAUGGUAAUUGAAAAUGAAGAGGGAAAGAAAAAAUUAAAACAGGAAGGAAUAACUGUUAGUGAAGAAGGCUUAUCAGAAGCAAUGAUUGAAAAUUCUGAGCAACUUCAUAAUAUAAAACCUUUGAGAUCGGCGGCUGCCAAAAGGUAAGCCGACCGGACGCAAUGAAAAGUAUA
RNAcentral lists this long non-coding RNA (216 nucleotides) under Gossypium barbadense (sea-island cotton). RNAcentral's name for it is "long non-coding RNA (GBAR_LNC007880)". Lineage: Eukaryota; Viridiplantae; Streptophyta; Magnoliopsida; Malvales; Malvaceae. The record is from RNAcentral.